UACAGAGGUCCCGAGCGUUGUUCGGAUUCAUUGGGCGUAAAGGGUGCGUAGGCGGCGGGGAAAGUCUGAUGUGAAAUCCUGGGGCUCAACCCUGGAACUGCAUUGGAUACUUCCUUGCUAGAGUACUGGAGAGGAAACUGGAAUUUACGGUGUAGCAGUGAAAUGCGUAGAGAUCGUAAGGAAGACCAGUGGCGAAGGCGAGUUUCUGGACAGUUACUGACGCUGAGGUGCGAAAGCGUGGGGAGCAAACAGG
RNAcentral lists this ribosomal RNA (253 nucleotides) under uncultured bacterium. RNAcentral describes it as "partial 16S ribosomal RNA". It matches the Rfam family "Bacterial small subunit ribosomal RNA", at positions 524 to 776 of the family's 1533-position model. The record is from RNAcentral.